GGGCGAGCGAAGCGGACGUCAGCGCGUGCUCGCUCCCGGCAGCUUCGCCCGGCAGCCGGCGCUCGGGCACGGACUCGGGCCCCGGUUAACCCUCUAGGGCGCUCUGCCAGCCCCGCACCCCUCCAACCUUCCAUCCCCCGCCUCGCGCGCGUGGGGAUCCACGUGGCUGUCACUUUUGGAGCCGUGCUGGGGGACCUGGACGAUAACUGAGGCCCGAGUCGGAGCGCUGGAGGUCCAGCCGAGAGGGCUUGGCGCAGUCCGCCCGUUAUCUCCGGACGCGCUCAUCCCCCUGCGCUGGCCGUGGUCCCCGCUGUUACCUCUGCAGCAGCCUCUUCUUCCUGCAGUGAGGUUCUUCCUCUCAGCCUCCCUGAGAGCUGGGCCGGCGGCCGCGGCUUUCCCUGCGCAGAGGACCUGAGCAGGCUGUUGGGACAUUGCCAAGCCGACCAAAGAGACGUGACUGCCUCAAAGACCGCCGGCGCAGGGUGGCCCUGGGAAGGAGGGACACAGGCAAAGGGUGUAAAGUACGGACUAACUUCCCUACAAAGCGGAUAUUCAAAAUGAAAGGAUGCCCAGGGUGAUUGCUCAUCUGAUAUCUGCCCCUGUGAAGCCUGCUGGUCCCCUAGAAUGCACCUGGAGGGGAACAACUGCCUUCAGAGAAAGCAGAAAGCCACUAAAGCAGAUGCUUGAAAUCUUUGCUGGAGGCCUUGUAAAAAGUUAUGCACUUGUCUUAGUUCUUUUGAGGAAUCUGGAGGUAAAGAACACAAAGCGAAAGAGACAAGAGACAGUGACAGACUGAACCAUUGGAGAAUAUAGCCCAGAGGUGGGAUGAGAGAAGGCCUCACUGGGCUGUGCUGGGCUGUCUAGGCUGCAACUAGCUUCCCUGCCCCAGCCCAUAAAGCUGCAACAAGACUGAUUAGAAAUGAUACAAUUAGACUCAGGUGAUUAGUUCAAGUAGAAGCAAAGUUCAUCAGUCUUAAAUCUCCAAAUCUGCUCCAUAUCUGUUCUCAGCUGAUAUCCCUGGGCUAGCCUCUGUGUCUUCUUGUCCUCUCUGAUCUGUGCCAGUGGAGGAGACAUGGAACUUUUGCGACAAGUUGAACAACAGUGAUCCUCAGUAAUGAGGUUUCACAGGCCAGCCUGGGCAGAUCCAGUUGGAUGUGGAUUUGAGUCUUAGCCACACUCUUUCCUUCUGCAAUGCCAGGUACAUACCCCCACAAAUCUGGAAGCUGGAGUUUCAAGUUCAUGGUUGUGAUCUAGACAUUAGCAACUUAGAAGGCUCCAGCACAACUUUUGCUCCAAGUCUGCUUUGGCCACCGGAUGAAGAAUCCGGCUCCUCCCAGAAGAAGCUCCUCACCAUGGCUCCCAUGAGGAUUUUAUGGCCGGUUGCACAAGAGAGACAAAGGGCGUCUUUAAAUUACACAAUCCCCAGCAUACAGCCUUGGUCCCAUUGGUUGAUUUUUCUAUUUUCCCCAUGGUUCUCCUUGAUUGCUUUGCCUCUGGGACUUUUCCCCUUUGACCCAGCCUUUUGGAGCUUCUUAAUUCUUCCUGUUCUUGUCCUUCUUGAUUAAAAGAGUAAAAGAGAGAGAAACUG
Long non-coding RNA from Heterocephalus glaber (naked mole-rat), 1588 nucleotides. RefSeq lists it as uncharacterized. The record is from RefSeq and is a predicted model, not a curated record. Lineage: Eukaryota; Metazoa; Chordata; Mammalia; Rodentia; Bathyergidae.